RNAcentral lists this ribosomal RNA (253 nucleotides) under uncultured bacterium. Its description in RNAcentral is "partial 16S ribosomal RNA". It matches the Rfam family "Bacterial small subunit ribosomal RNA", at positions 524 to 776 of the family's 1533-position model. The record is from RNAcentral.
UACAGAGGUCUCAAGCGUUGUUCGGAUUUACUGGGCGUAAAGCGUGCGUAGGCGGCGAGGUAAGUCAGAUGUGAAAGCUCAGGGCUCAACCCUGAAAUUGCAUCCGAUACUGCCUUGCUAGAGUAAUGGAGGGGAGUCUGGAAUUCACGGUGUAGCAGUGAAAUGCGUAGAUAUCGUGAGGAACACUAGUGGCGAAGGCGAGACUCUGGACAUUUACUGACGCUCAGGCACGAAGGCUAGGGUAGCGAAGCGG